This 485-nucleotide ribosomal RNA is filed under the name uncultured bacterium. RNAcentral describes it as "partial 16S ribosomal RNA". It matches the Rfam family "Bacterial small subunit ribosomal RNA", at positions 28 to 523 of the family's 1533-position model. The record is from RNAcentral.
GACGAACGCUGGCGGCGUGCUUAACACAUGCAAGUCGAACGGGAUCCAUGGAGUAGCAAUACUCCGGAAGAUCUAGUGGCGAACGGGUGAGGAACACGUGAAGAACCUGCCCUGAACUCUGGGAUAACAGUUGGAAACGACUGCUAAUACCGGAUGUCGUUGUCGGAGUCGCAUGGCUCUACAACGAAAGUUUUUCGGUUCAGGAGGGCUUCGCGGCCUAUCAGCUAGUUGGUGAGGUAAUGGCUCACCAAGGCAUCGACGGGUAGCUGGUCUAGGAGGAUGAUCAGCCACACUGGGACUGGUACACGGCCCAGACUCCUACGGGAGGCAGCAGUGGGGAAUCUUGCGCAAUGGGCGAAAGCCUGACGCAGCAACGCAGCGUGCGGGAAGAAGGCUUUAGGGUUGUAAACCGCUUUCAGCAGGGAAGAAAAUGACGGUGCCUGCAGAAGAAGGUGCGGCCAACUACGUGCCAGCAGCCGCGGUAA